CAGCCGCCGCGGUAAUACAUAGGGUGCAAGCGUUGUCCGGAAUUAUUGGGCGUAAAGAGCUCGUAGGUCGUUUGUUACGUCGGAUGUGAAAACCUGAGGCUCAACCUCAGGCCUGCAUUCGAUACGGGCAAACUAGAGUUUGGUAGGGGAGACUGGAAUUCCUGGUGUAGCGGUGGAAUGCGCAGAUAUCAGGAGGAACACCAAUGGCGAAGGCAGGUCUUUGGGCCAAUACUGACACUGAGGAGCGAAAGUCUGGGGAGCGAACAGGAUUAGAUACCCUGGUAGUCCAGACCGUAAACGGUGGGCACUAGUUGUGGGAACCUUCCACGGUUUCUGCGAUGCACCUAACGCAUUAAGUGCCCCGCCUGGGGUGUACGAUCGCAAGGUUAAAACUCAAA
Molecule: ribosomal RNA, 398 nt
Filed under: actinobacterium enrichment culture clone LiUU-17-374_1
Lineage: Bacteria; Bacillati; Actinomycetota; Actinomycetes
Description: bacterial SSU rRNA
Rfam family: Bacterial small subunit ribosomal RNA
Source: RNAcentral